This 1055-nucleotide long non-coding RNA is filed under the name Monodelphis domestica (gray short-tailed opossum). RNAcentral's name for it is "lncRNA (ENSMODG00000046441.1)". The record is from RNAcentral. Lineage: Eukaryota; Metazoa; Chordata; Mammalia; Didelphimorphia; Didelphidae.
AUUUUGAUUUUCUGAGGCAUUUUAGUUACAAAAGUUGGUAAUUAAUUGGUGUUGAUCUAGUCAAGUCAAAAUAUAAGGAGCUGUUAGCAUUCUACUCCAUACUUGUAGCUCCUGAAUCCUAGGGCAUCUCAACUGUGCAACUUCUUCUGUCAUCAGCUGUGAUCAAGCCUUUUGACCUGGAGCUACUGAUGUGAUUGAACAAAGAAUUGUAUGAAUAGAGGAUUUCCUAGCAUGAUCUAUUUCUGGAGAGUCUAUUGGAAUGACUUGUGACUGCCAAACUGGUUCAGCACUCAGGGUAGCAUCUUGAAAAUGACUUGCCUACAUUCACACAGCCAAUAUAUAUCAGAGUGGAUCUUGGCCAGAUAUGAAGAGGAAAUGGAUCUCAUUUUUGGAUGUCACAGGACUGGCCGACCCUGUGGAUGAGUCUUGUAAGCCAUAGAGUCUUACACGAAUCCAGAAACUGAACUGUUUGGAGAAGUCCCUGAUGCUUCCACAGACCACAAGCUGCAUGAGAAGAUCAAGAAUGAACUUUGGGUGUGGUUGAUUGAACAUUUAUUUGUAUGUAUACUUUCAUGCCAAAGGGGACUGCACCCUAAUUGGCUUUUUGUCAAUGCAUCUAGCAAUUAUUGGUCUUGUUCUCUUUUCCUCUUAUCCUAAAAUUAUUGUAAUUUCACUGUUGGUAUGUUUAUAAGACCCAUUGGAGAGACUAGUCUUCCUCAGGCCUCAGGGGGAAAUGUAAAAAUGGAGAUUUGAACCCUAACCCUAGACUUCAAUCCCCAGAAGUCCUUGGUACUUCCCAGAGUUCCCUAUAAUCUCACCUGAGUCCCCACCUGGGCGAGAUCACAAUUAGUAUUUAAAUUGGCGGUAAUGCCUACCUCGACCUCUUCCUCUUCUUUGCUCUUCUGGAUGCUUGGCCAUUUGCAAGAUGUAGUAAGUAAGUUAUGAAUGGGCUAAUCAGCCUAUGGCACAUGUUUUCGUUAUUUUGUAUUUUCCUUAUUCCUUGAUUUUUAAUAAUCUUUAAUAAACCUCAUAAGGUAUAAUAUUUCUAUUACUAG